Molecule: long non-coding RNA, 1908 nt
Organism: Zingiber officinale
Lineage: Eukaryota; Viridiplantae; Streptophyta; Magnoliopsida; Zingiberales; Zingiberaceae
Exons: 2
Source: RefSeq, a predicted model, not a curated record
AAUUAACAGGAAAUUCACGCAACAUCUGCACAGAAAGUCAAGUCGUCCUCUUGGUUCUUAUGCAUAUCUAACAGGAUAGCAAUUGAGAUCUGUACAACUUCCAACUGCAGGUAUUGAAUAUUUAUAAAUGUAGAGAAUUAUGUGAAUUGGAGUCAUUGACGGCACUUGCCUCCCUCAGAGAAUUGAAAAUCUUUCACUGCCCCAAAUUACUCGCUCCAACAUUUUCCACUCUACAAAAUCCUGCAACAACAGCAACAAAACAAAGUGCCACAAAGAUAAAGAAGGGAACAUUACCUUCACUUGAAAAGAUUGAUAUUGACAACAUAUUGUAUCUACCCAUUUGCCAAUUCCAGAAAGGUUAAACACCCUUUUUAUCAAUGACAUACCUCUCGAGUUCACUUGUUUCCCUUCUGAGAUAGAGGAGUGGUUGUUGCAAUGUCAGAAGUCUCUGAAAGAUUUAACAUUGAGAGAGAUGCCUCGUCUGCAAUCUUUACCGACAAGUUUGGAGAGCUUUUCAUCGCUCAAGGCUCUUUGCAUAUCUUACGCUCCAAUACUCAAGUCAUUGCCCAGGAUGCCUACCUCACUGAAGAUUCUGAAGAUAUAUGGAUGCAGUGCAAAGCUUAAGAAGCGUUGCCAAGAGAACAUCGGUCCCGAUUGGCCUAACAUCAACCACAUCCCUGACAUUCAUAUUAUAGUGGGUAAAGACGACAAGGACGAGGUGUGUUAAUGCUAACAAGGAAUCGUCAGUUUGUUCAUACUGCAUCUUGUGUUUGCUUAUUGAAUUACCUCAUUAUCACUUACCAUGCCAUUGACUAAGUUUUCUCAAAUUGCCCGUGUUCAUUUUAUUCUAUGAGAUUAAUAAUCUUCAUGUUGCUUAUUUUGCGUUAUAUACUUAUAGUUCAAGUCAAUUGCAAUUGUGUCAGCAGCAGGCUUUGCAGUUCCACAUUAUCACAUAUAUAUAAUACCAAGCACAGGACCUGGUCUGGUCAUUCAUCAAAAGGUCAAGUUACUAAGCACAGGACCUGGUCGUAUCUUUGUGCUUUAAGUUUCUGUUUCCAUUCAUUUUGAAAAUAAACCACAAAGAGAAAGAACCCAUACCGUGAUAAUACUCACCUUGGGUGUUGUUUUCCACACUUCUAAAACACAACUGAUUUGCUUGAUGUAUUCAUUAGAAGGGUCACAUUUCUAAGACACAACUGAUUUCUAAAUCGAUUAAUGCUUCUAUUAAUGUUGCAAAAGGAUUACUGAAAUUUGAUGUUCUUGGGAGACUUGAGGUUAUAAUCAUGGCUGGUUAUGCAUAGUAUAUAAUCUCAUCUUCUAUUAUUUGAAGCUUUCCUUCAAAAAUGUACUGAGUAUAUUUAUCUAUUUCCACUUGAUAUUAUUUGUUUUCAUGGAAAAUUAAUCUUCUUCAUUUUUGAACUCUUUAAAUGCUUACAGGGUGACUUAUAGUCUUGACAAGAACACCAUUGCAUUAUCAAUUCCAGAUGUCAUAUACAUCUUUUUUAUGUUGAUUAAGUGAAAACAUUCAAUUUGUUGAUCUUUCUUGAGUGUCUACCAGAUCCACAUUCAACAAUGAGCAGAUAUUGCUACCAAGAAUUAGGUGAUGAUCAAAUUUUUUCUUCCACUCUUGUCGCUGAAUCUACAAUCAUUGUAACUUCUGGUGAAGUAUAUGAACAGAGAUUAUAUAUUUGAAGUGCAUCCUCAACUAUAUGAACAGAGACAACUUCCUCAAGCUCUCCCCUCUCCUAUUGUUGAUAAUUGGCUUGUCUCAGUACUAAUUCCAACAAAUCUAUAAGAAUUUCCAACAAUGUAUUUGAUCUCCCAACCUCGUAUAUUUUGUUCAAUGUUUGUGUGGUUUAACAUUCAUCUUGUGAUGGACAUUGAGAUGAUGCAUUUAUCUGUUUUUUC